UACGUAGGUGGCAAGCGUUGUCCGGAAUUAUUGGGCGUAAAGCGCGCGCAGGUGGUUUCUUAAGUCUGAUGUGAAAGCCCACGGCUCAACCGUGGAGGGUCAUUGGAAACUGGGGAACUUGAGUGCAGAAGAGGAAAGUGGAAUUCCAAGUGUAGCGGUGAAAUGCGUAGAGAUUUGGAGGAACACCAGUGGCGAAGGCGAGUCUCUGGGCAACAACUGACGCUGAGGAGCGAAAGCGUGGGGAGCGAACAGGA
Molecule: ribosomal RNA, 254 nt
Filed under: uncultured bacterium
Lineage: Bacteria
Description: partial 16S ribosomal RNA
Rfam family: Bacterial small subunit ribosomal RNA
Source: RNAcentral